ACAAGCUGACGAAUCCCAAAUAGGACGAAACGCGCGUCUUAUAU
Molecule: non-coding RNA, 44 nt
Filed under: Schistosoma margrebowiei
Lineage: Eukaryota; Metazoa; Platyhelminthes; Trematoda; Strigeidida; Schistosomatidae
Source: RNAcentral